RNAcentral lists this ribosomal RNA (257 nucleotides) under uncultured bacterium. RNAcentral's name for it is "partial 16S ribosomal RNA". It matches the Rfam family "Bacterial small subunit ribosomal RNA", at positions 524 to 776 of the family's 1533-position model. The record is from RNAcentral.
CACGUAGGGGGCAAGCGUUGUCCGGAAUUAUUGGGCGUAAAGAGCUCGUAGGCGGCUCGGUAAGUCAGGUGUCAAAUCCUCAGGCUCAACCUGGGGGCUCCACCUGAUACUGCUGUGGCUAGAGUCCGGUAGGGGAGCGUGGAAUUCCUGGUGUAGCGGUGAAAUGCGCAGAUAUCAGGAGGAACACCAGCGGCGAAGGCGGCGCUCUGGGGCCGGAACUGACGCUGAGGAGCGAAAAGCGUGGGUAGCAAAACAGG